AGAGUUUGAUCCUGGCUCAGAAUGAACGUUGGUAACGUGGAUUAGGCAUGCAAGUCGAGCGACAAGGGGCUUCGGCCCUGGAGGAGCGGCAAACGGGGUAGUAAGGCAUCGGAACGUACCCUCUUGUCCGGGAUACCCGCGGGAAACUGCGGUUAAUACCGGAUAAUCCCGAAAGGGCAAAGGUCUGCCGCGGGAGGAGCGGCCGAUGUGAUAUCAGCUUGUUGGUGUGGUAAUGGCGCACCAAGGCUUAGACGUCUAGGGGGUGUGAGAGCAUGGCCCCCACCACUGGGACUGAGAUACUGCCCAGACACCUACGGGUGGCCGCAGUCGAGAAUCUUCGGCAAUGGGCGAAAGCCUGACCGAGCGACGCUACGUGCGGGAUGAAGGCCCUUGGGUUGUAAACCGCUGUCAGAGGGGAUGAAAGCGCAAGCUUGACGGAGCCUCAGAGGAAGCGCGGGCUAAGUUCGUGCCAGCAGCCGCGGUAAUACGAACUGCGCAAACGUUAUUCGGAAUCACUGGGCUUACAGGGUGCGUAGGCGGCCAGUCAGGUCCGAUGUGAAAUCCCACGGCUCAACCGUGGAACGGCAUUGGAAACCGAUUGGCUUGAGUGGGCUAGAGGUGCACGGAACUUCCGGUGGAGCGGUGAAAUGUGUUGAGAUCGGAAGGAACACCAGAGGCGAAAGCGGUGCACUGGAGCUUG
This 700-nucleotide ribosomal RNA is filed under the name uncultured bacterium. RNAcentral's name for it is "bacterial SSU rRNA". It matches the Rfam family "Bacterial small subunit ribosomal RNA", at positions 8 to 738 of the family's 1533-position model. The record is from RNAcentral.